RNAcentral lists this ribosomal RNA (468 nucleotides) under uncultured bacterium. RNAcentral describes it as "partial 16S ribosomal RNA". It matches the Rfam family "Bacterial small subunit ribosomal RNA", at positions 28 to 507 of the family's 1533-position model. The record is from RNAcentral.
GACGAACGCUGGCGGCGUGCUUAACACAUGCAAGUCGAACGGAAAGGCCCUGCUUUUGUGGGGUGCUCGAGUGGCGAACGGGUGAGUAACACGUGAGUAACCUGCCCUUGACUUUGGGAUAACUUCAGGAAACUGGGGCUAAUACCGGAUAGGAGCUCCUGCUGCAUGGUGGGGGUUGGAAAGUUUCGGCGGUUGGGGAUGGACUCGCGGCUUAUCAGCUUGUUGGUGGGGUAGUGGCUUACCAAGGCUUUGACGGGUAGCCGGCCUGAGAGGGUGACCGGCCACAUUGGGACUGAGAGACGGCCCAGACUGCUACGGGAGGCAGCAGUGGGGAAUAUUGCACAAUGGGCGGAAGCCUGAGGCAGCAACGCCGCGUGCGGGAUGACGGCCUUCGGGUUGUAAACCGCUUUCGCCUGUGACGAAGCGUGAGUGACGGUAAUGGGUAAAGAAGCACCGGCUAACUACGUG